RNAcentral lists this ribosomal RNA (842 nucleotides) under Salinivibrio sp. JSM 112019. Its description in RNAcentral is "bacterial SSU rRNA". It matches the Rfam family "Bacterial small subunit ribosomal RNA", at positions 639 to 1480 of the family's 1533-position model. Lineage: Bacteria; Pseudomonadati; Pseudomonadota; Gammaproteobacteria; Vibrionales; Vibrionaceae. The record is from RNAcentral.
GGCUAGAGUCUUGUAGAGGGGGGUAGAAUUUCAGGUGUAGCGGUGAAAUGCGUAGAGAUCUGAAGGAAUACCAGUGGCGAAGGCGGCCCCCUGGACAAAGACUGACGCUCAGAUGCGAAAGCGUGGGUAGCAAACAGGAUUAGAUACCCUGGUAGUCCACGCCGUAAACGCUGUCUACUUGGAGGUUGAGGUUUAAGACUUUGGCUUUCGGCGCUAACGCAUUAAGUAGACCGCCUGGGGAGUACGGCCGCAAGGUUAAAACUCAAAUGAAUUGACGGGGGCCCGCACAAGCGGUGGAGCAUGUGGUUUAAUUCGAUGCAACGCGAAGAACCUUACCUACUCUUGACAUCCAGCGAAUCCUUUAGAGAUAGAGGAGUGCCUUCGGGAGCGCUGAGACAGGUGCUGCAUGGCUGUCGUCAGCUCGUGUUGUGAAAUGUUGGGUUAAGUCCCGCAACGAGCGCAACCCUUAUCCUUGUUUGCCAGCACGUAAUGGUGGGAACUCCAGGGAGACUGCCGGUGAUAAACCGGAGGAAGGUGGGGACGACGUCAAGUCAUCAUGGCCCUUACGAGUAGGGCUACACACGUGCUACAAUGGCAGAUACAGAGGGCAGCGAAGCUGCGAAGUGGAGCGAAUCCCUUAAAGUCUGUCGUAGUCCGGAUUGGAGUCUGCAACUCGACUCCAUGAAGUCGGAAUCGCUAGUAAUCGUGGAUCAGAAUGCCACGGUGAAUACGUUCCCGGGCCUUGUACACACCGCCCGUCACACCAUGGGAGUGGGCUGCACCAGAAGUAGAUAGCUUAACCUUCGGGAGGGCGUUUACCACGGUGUGGUUCAUGACUGGGG